RNAcentral lists this transfer RNA (71 nucleotides) under Dromaius novaehollandiae (emu). It matches the Rfam family "tRNA". From Rfam's summary of the family: Transfer RNA (tRNA) molecules are approximately 80 nucleotides in length. Their secondary structure includes four short double-helical elements and three loops (D, anti-codon, and T loops). The record is from Rfam by way of RNAcentral. RNAcentral also lists the same sequence under 2 other names. Lineage: Eukaryota; Metazoa; Chordata; Aves; Casuariiformes; Dromaiidae.
GCUUUUAAAGGAUAAUAGUAAUCCACUGGCCUUAGGAGCCAUUAAUCUUGGUGCAACUCCAAGUAAAAGCA